UACAGAGGGGGCAAGCGUUAUUCGGAAUUAUUGGGCGUAAAGGGCGCGUAGGCGGCUUGGCAAGUGGAAGGUGAAAUCCCUCGGCUUAACCGAGGAACUGCCCUCCAAACUGCUUCGCUUGAGACCGGGAGAGGUGAGUGGAAUUCCCAGUGUAGCGGUGAAAUGCGUAGAUAUUGGGAGGAACACCAGUGGCGAAGGCGGCUCACUGGACCGGUACUGACGCUGAAGCGCGAAAAGCGUGGGGGGAGCAAACGGGGG
RNAcentral lists this ribosomal RNA (258 nucleotides) under uncultured bacterium. RNAcentral describes it as "partial 16S ribosomal RNA". It matches the Rfam family "Bacterial small subunit ribosomal RNA", at positions 524 to 778 of the family's 1533-position model. The record is from RNAcentral.